RNAcentral lists this ribosomal RNA (487 nucleotides) under uncultured bacterium. RNAcentral's name for it is "SSU rRNA". It matches the Rfam family "Bacterial small subunit ribosomal RNA", at positions 26 to 521 of the family's 1533-position model. The record is from RNAcentral.
AGGACGAACGCUGGCGGCGUGCCUAACACAUGCAAGUCGAACGAGGUCCAACCGGUAGCAAUACCGGUGAAGACCAAGUGGCGAACGGGUGAGUAGCACGUGAGCAACCUGCCCCGAAGACCGGGACAACACCGGGAAACCGGUGCUAAUACCGGAUAUCCCCACCGAGUCGCAUGGCUUGGUGAGGAAAUGGAUUCCGCUUCGGGAGGGGCUCGCGGCCUAUCAGCUUGUUGGUGAGGUAACGGCUCACCAAGGCUUCGACGGGUAGCUGGUCUGAGAGGACGAUCAGCCACACUGGGACUGAGACACGGCCCAGACUCCUACGGGAGGCAGCAGUGGGGGAAUCUUGCACAAUGGGCGAAAGCCUGACGCAGCCAUGCCGCGUGAAUGAUGAAGGUCUUAGGAUUGUAAAAUUCUUUCAGCGGGGAAGAUAAUGACUGUACCCGCAGAAGAAGCUCCGGCUAACGUUCGUGCCAGCAGCCGCGGU